RNAcentral lists this ribosomal RNA (447 nucleotides) under uncultured bacterium. Its description in RNAcentral is "partial 16S ribosomal RNA". It matches the Rfam family "Bacterial small subunit ribosomal RNA", at positions 29 to 523 of the family's 1533-position model. The record is from RNAcentral.
AACGAACGCUGGCGGCAGGCUUAACACAUGCAAGUCGAACGCCCCGCAAGGGGAGUGGCAGACGGGUGAGUAACGCGUGGGAAUCUACCCAGUUCUACGGAACAACUGAGGGAAACUUCAGCUACUACCGCAUACGCCCUACGGGGGAAAGAUAUAUCGUAAUUGGAUGAGCCCGCGUAAGAUUAGCUAGUUGGUGGGGUAAAGGCCUACCAAGGCGACGAUCUUUAGCUGGUCUGAGAGGAUGAUCAGCCACACUGGGACUGAGACACGGCCCAGACUCCUACGGGAGGCAGCAGUGGGGAAUAUUGGACAAUGGGCGCAAGCCUGAUCCAGCCAUGCCGCGUGAGUGAUGAAGGCCUUAGGGUUGUAAAGCUCUUUCAGUGGGGACGAUAAUGACGGUACCCACAGAAGAAGCCCCGGCUAACUUCGUGCCAGCCGCCGCCGUAA